Molecule: ribosomal RNA, 228 nt
Filed under: uncultured bacterium
Lineage: Bacteria
Description: partial 16S ribosomal RNA
Rfam family: Bacterial small subunit ribosomal RNA
Source: RNAcentral
GACGAACGCUGGCGGCGUGCUUAACACAUGCAAGUCGAGCGGUAAGGCCCUCGGGUACGACGAGCGGCGAACGGGUGAGUAACACGUGGGUGACCUGCCUCUAGCUCUGGGAUAAGCCUGGGAAACGUGGGUCUAAUACCGGAUAUGACUCCACGGCGCAUGUUGUGGGGUGGAAAGCCUUGUGUGGCUAGAGAUGGGCCCGCGGCCUAUCAGCUUGUUGGGUGGGGG